CACGGCCCAGACUCCUACGGGAGGCAGCAGUAGGGAAUCUUCCGCAAUGGACGGAAAGUCUGACGGAGCAACGCCGCGUGAGUGAUGAARGUUUUCGGAUCGUAAAGCUCUGUUGUUAGGGAAGAACAAGUACCGUUCGAAUAGGGCGGUACCUUGACGGUACCUAACCAGAAAGCCACGGCUAACUACGUGCCAGCAGCCGCGGUAAUACGUAGGUGGCAAGCGUUGUCCGGAAUUAUUGGGCGUAAAGGGCUCGCAGGCGGUUUCUUAAGUCUGAUGUGAAAGCCCCCGGCUCAACCGGGGAGGGUCAUUGGAAACUGGGGAACUUGAGUGCAGAASAGGAGAGUGGAAUUCCACGUGUAGCGGUGAAAUGCGUAGAGAUGUGGAGGAACACCAGUGGCGAAGGCGACUCUCUGGUCUGUAACUGACGCUGAGGAGCGAAAGCGUGGGGAGCGAACAGGAUUAGAUAYCCUGGUAGUCCACGCCGUAAACGAUGAGUGCUAAGUGUUAGGGGGUUUCCGCCCCUUAGUGCUGCAGCUAACGCAUUAAGCACUCCGCCUGGGGAGUACGGUCGCAAGACUGAAACUCAAAGGAAUUGACGGGGGYCCGCACAAGCGGUGGAGCAUGUGGUUUAAUUCGAAGCAMYGCGAAGAACCUUACMMGGUCUUGACAUCCUCUGACAAUCCUAGAGAUAGGACGUCC
RNAcentral lists this ribosomal RNA (702 nucleotides) under Bacillus subtilis. RNAcentral describes it as "bacterial SSU rRNA". Lineage: Bacteria; Bacillati; Bacillota; Bacilli; Caryophanales; Bacillaceae. The record is from RNAcentral.